AUUGAACGCUGGCGGCAGGCCUAACACAUGCAAGUCGAGCGGAUGACGGGAGCUUGCUCCUUGAUUCAGCGGCGGACGGGUGAGUAAUGCCUAGGAAUCUGCCUGGUAGUGGGGGACAACGUUUCGAAAGGAACGCUAAUACCGCAUACGUCCUACGGGAGAAAGCAGGGGACCUUCGGGCCUUGCGCUAUCAGAUGAGCCUAGGUCGGAUUAGCUAGUUGGUGGGGUAAUGGCUCACCAAGGCGACGAUCCGUAACUGGUCUGAGAGGAUGAUCAGUCACACUGGAACUGAGACACGGUCCAGACUCCUACGGGAGGCAGCAGUGGGGAAUAUUGGACAAUGGGCGAAAGCCUGAUCCAGCCAUGCCGCGUGUGUGAAGAAGGUCUUCGGAUUGUAAAGCACUUUAAGUUGGGAGGAAGGGCAGUAAGCUAAUACCUUGCUGUUUUGACGUACCGACAGAAUAAGCCC
This 469-nucleotide ribosomal RNA is filed under the name Pseudomonas sp. BTRI27. RNAcentral describes it as "bacterial SSU rRNA". It matches the Rfam family "Bacterial small subunit ribosomal RNA", at positions 30 to 493 of the family's 1533-position model. The record is from RNAcentral. Lineage: Bacteria; Pseudomonadati; Pseudomonadota; Gammaproteobacteria; Pseudomonadales; Pseudomonadaceae.